GUAACUACUCAGGAUUAAUGUCAGAAGUUGAGUUUUUGUUGGUGACACUGACAAGCUUUGUUUCCCUCCCUGUGCUCCACACGGGCUCUGGUCCUCUAACACAAUCUUCCUGGGUCCCGUGCUCUGCAGGGCCAGGUCAGAUGAUUUCCUGAGCAGUGCGUAUGUCCUGUGAUGUCCUGUGUUGCUGGAAUGGAGUGGAUUCUUCUCUCUCAGUGAGGAAUAGCUUUCUGAUUGUGAUCUCAGUGGAAGUCACGUGCUGUACCCACCACUGGGCAGACCUUGCUGGCCACGGCCUCCACGUGCAGUGACCGUUCUCUUGGCAGCGUCUCAGGCUGUCUGGACCAGCUGUCACAGUCUCGCUGUGGGUGAGUCACCUGAGGCACUGUAUGGCGGAUAGAAGGAUUCAUUGCCCUGGGAGGUUUUGCCUGGCAUUCUGCAGAAGCAUUGCUGUAUCUUACCAGACAGGAAUACAGAUGAAGACCCCCAGGCCCAGGGAAUUCGAUCACUGGCUGAGAACUCACAGCUAAGGAGGGGGAGCCUGGGAUUCCUUCCUGGUGCUCACACCCGAGACCCUUUUGUCACUGUGUUCAAAGGCACUGCUGCACAGACGUGAUUCUUCUUUCAACGAACAUCUCCAGGACUUCCUCCGGGGUCUGUGACCUCAUCUAUAAUUAAAGGGAAAGAGAUCUUCCUGAGAUUAGCCCAUUUAACUUGUUUAACUAGAUGCAUGCUGCAAAAACUGUUUUCAAGAAAUGAACAAUUGACUAUUUAAAAAGAGCCAAGCCUUAAAAGAAGACCAGGUUUUAAUAGGGAAAACAUUCAGUAAAAUAUUAUUCUGCAGUAACUUGUGGAAUGACUGCUGUACACACAGCUCUGGGCUGGGUACCUGGAAGCUCACGAGCUUGUUUGGCCUCCCCUCCUGGACACAGGAGGUGUCAAGGCUGUGGUCAGCAGAAUCUACCCAGCUGGACACUGAGUGGACGCCCUGUGGGGUGGCUGUGAAAUGGGUCCACUUUGUAGUGGCAGCAUCCCUGAUAGUACUUCUGAAAGGGACAAGAUAGAAAAGCAAACCAAACUGAAACUGAGAAGUCGUGGAUGAUACCAGGGGCGCACAGUGGCUGACAGGAAGAGACUGCCUGGGGGGUCUCGGAGCCAGUGGCUGGAGUGGAGUUAGUUUGACCGAGUCCUGGACUAGGGAGGGGACCCCCAAAGCAUGCCCAGCAUGGCGCUAGUGGGGCCCAGGCACCCCAUGUCCCAACGACUAGAACCAAUAAUCAGGUUAACACUCAUUAAAUAAGAAGUGUCUGUGCCUCCUGGGAUAAAAAUCCUUUAUAACGAUCUGGGACGCGAGCUCAAGUCCCUGUUCCCUUGUCCUCCACAGCAGUGUGCAGCGUGGAACUCGGCGGUUCGGGGUCCCUGAGUCCCUGAGCCACUGUCUACCCCCUGCUCCAUCCCAAAUGCAGAGACCCCUGAGCACUCAUGUGGACAUGCCCCACCAUGCCCUGGCUGCUCCUUCAGGAUGGCGCAGGGCCACCGCUAUGGGAGGACUCUAAAGGGUGGGUCUCAAGCCCUCCUCUGCUUACCCUAAAUCAGGAGAGCAAACCGAAUGCACUGCCCUCUUCCUUCACUCCUGCAUCCCAUCCCCCGCUAUGGCCUCACUAUCAGGUGGGCAUCUGUGCUCCUAGUUUUCAUGGGUGGCCCGACGGGGGCUGCAGAAAGUUCAUGCAUCGCAUCACCCAUCAGUGUAAGGUGCAGUGAUCCUGCCACAUGUGUCUUUGUCACAGGUCACUAGAUUAAAGGCUAAUAUAUCCAUGGGUGGAUGGAAUAUUUAUUUGGCCAAAUUGUUGUCUAACAAUCCAUUGGUUUUGGUUAUCUAUUGCUGAAUAAUAAGCCAUCUCAACAUUUAGUAAGCAGUGAGCAUUGGUUGAAGCCACUGUUCCUGAUGGCCAAGGUUGCCCAGGCUCAGCUGGGCGGCUCUUCUGCUCUGUGAUGUGAGCUGGGGCUGAGCAUCUGGAGAUUUGACUGGGCAGUCAGGCACUCACUCACACAGGGCAGGUGGGGCUGGCUGUCAGCUUGUAGCUCAUCUAGGGCUGUUGUCUGAGCGCCUGGAUUCUCUCUCAUGAGACCUGUCCAGCACCUUGGUCCCCCCAUAC
This 2153-nucleotide long non-coding RNA is filed under the name Homo sapiens (human). RNAcentral's name for it is "HSALNT0131917". The record is from RNAcentral. Lineage: Eukaryota; Metazoa; Chordata; Mammalia; Primates; Hominidae.